Molecule: ribosomal RNA, 1366 nt
Filed under: uncultured bacterium
Lineage: Bacteria
Description: bacterial SSU rRNA
Rfam family: Bacterial small subunit ribosomal RNA
Source: RNAcentral
AGAGUUUGCUCCUGGCUCUGGACGAACGCUGGCGGCGCGCCUAACACAUGCAAGUCGAACGAGCGAGAGAGAGCUUGCUUCCUCAAGCGAGUGGCGAACGGGUGAGUAACGCGUGAGGAACCUGCCUCAAAGAGGGGGACAACAGUUGGAAACGACUGCUAAUACCGCAUAAGCCCACAGCUCGGCAUCGAGCAGAGGGAAAAGGAGCAAUCCGCUUUGAGAUGGCCUCGCGUCCGAUUAGCUAGUUGGUGAGGUAAUGGCCCACCAAGGCGACGAUCGGUAGCCGGACUGAGAGGUUGAACGGCCACAUUGGGACUGAGACACGGCCCAGACUCCUACGGGAGGCAGCAGUGGGGAAUAUUGCACAAUGGGGGAAACCCUGAUGCAGCGACGCCGCGUGGAGGAAGAAGGUCUUCGGAUUGUAAACUCCUGUUGUUGAGGAAGAUAAUGACGGUACUCAACAAGGAAGUGACGGCUAACUACGUGCCAGCAGCCGCGGUAAAACGUAGGUCACAAGCGUUGUCCGGAAUUACUGGGUGUAAAGGGAGCGCAGGCGGGAAGACAAGUUGGAAGUGAAAUCUAUGGGCUCAACCCAUAAACUGCUUUCAAAACUGUUUUCUUGAGUAGUGCAGAGGUAGGCGGAAUUCCCGGUGUAGCGGUGGAAUGCGUAGAUAUCGGGAGGAACACCAGUGGCGAAGGCGGCCUACUGGGCACCAACUGACGCUGAGGCUCGAAAGUGUGGGUAGCAAACAGGAUUAGAUACCCUGGUAGUCCACACCGUAAACGAUGAUUACUAGGUGUUGGAGGAUUGACCCCUUCAGUGCCGCAGUUAACACAAUAAGUAAUCCACCUGGGGAGUACGACCGCAAGGUUGAAACUCAAAGGAAUUGACGGGGGCCCGCACAAGCAGUGGAGUAUGUGGUUUAAUUCGACGCAACGCGAAGAACCUUACCAAGUCUUGACAUCCUGCGACGCACAUAGAAAUAUGUGUUUCCUUCGGGACGCAGAGACAGGUGGUGCAUGGUUGUCGUCAGCUCGUGUCGUGAGAUGUUGGGUUAAGUCCCGCAACGAGCGCAACCCUUACUGUCAGUUACUACGCAAGAGGACUCUGGCAGGACUGCCGUUGACAAAACGGAGGAAGGUGGGGAUGACGUCAAAUCAUCAUGCCCUUUAUGACUUGGGCUACACACGUACUACAAUGGCGUUAAACAAAGAGAAGCAAGACCGCGAGGUGGAGCAAAACUCAGAAACAACGUCCCAGUUCGGACUGCAGGCUGCAACUCGCCUGCACGAAGUCGGAAUUGCUAGUAAUCGUGGAUCAGCAUGCCACGGUGAAUACGUUCCCGGGCCUGUACACACCGCCCGU